CCACUAGUGGCACUGGCACCAGUGGGAACACUGCCAGCAGUAAUUCCUCUGGUACCCAGCUCACCAUAUACACUUCUUGGCAGAUUGCCGCGAGUACAAAUAGUAUCAGCAACAGUGUUGUCAGUCCCACUACACACAAGCAAAUGAUGUCUCUUCGAUGCUGCACACACUACUAAUGCCUUUGCUGAUCCUUCCCAUCCCUUGUGUAUUGCCAAUGUCAUUGUUUCUAUUCCAAGUGUUAUCAACACGACCCUUCAUUUUUGAAAGCUCAUCUACAUACCUUUGCACCCCUUACCCCAUCUCCCUUGUGAGAUGCUAACAAUGCUCUCUGGCCGGGGGCAAUCUACCUAUGAACCUGCCUAUCCCUUGUCCUUAGCAUGACCCUUCAUUCCUGAAAGCUCAUCUCCAUACCUUUGCAAUGCACUCACGCCAAGGGCCGUCCGCCUAUGAACGUUGGGAGGUGGCAGCUCAAUCUGAAUUGUCUAUCUCAAUGGGCCCCACAACAUACACCACAUCGUUGAGCCCACCGGGACUCAGACAUACAGCAUCUUUUUGCCACCUAUCACCCACGUUCCAGUGAUUGGGACCACUUGGAGCCAUUUUUAAGUGGUAUAAACAGAUGGUUUUAAAAGUUUCUAAUGAGUUUAUUACCACUAAAAUGAUUUAAUCUCUACAAUUUUAGUUCAUGGCUCAAAGGUGGGUUUAUAUCUAGGUCAAAUGUUAUUAGCCAAUCAGGGUGGGAACUUGUAAUCUAUGGUUUAUGCAGUUUUAAAAGCUUUUAUGAUACACUUAGGGCUAAAUUGGCUGGUUUUAAGGUGAGCUAGCCUAAUUAAGCAAGUUUAUGGGUAGCUUAGGCCUAUUUAAGAUGAUUUAAAAAGAAUUUAAGUGUGCGUAGGAUUUUAACUAGUUGAGUUUAACUCUUAAUGAAGUUGAUUUAGGGGCUAAAUAGUGGUUCCUAACUAAUUACCAUGUGUGGUAGGUGUAUGGAUCAUGGGAGUAGGGUGCGCUAGGUUGUAUUAUGCUAGUAUGAUCCCAAGUGCGAUUUAGUCUAGAAAUAGGGCGUUUGGGUGUCUAUAGUUACUUGUCUCACACUUUGGAUGAGAUGAACAGCAAAGAAGUAAACACCUAAGUCAUAGAGUCAGAGUAAAAACAGAGAUUGAAUAGUAAUUUUGGAGCCAAGUACUUGCUUGGAUGUCUGACAAUAGUCAAUCAAGGAUGUCAGUGGUCUCCACGACCUAAAUAUGAGCUUAACCCAGGAUUUGGGGCGAUCGCUGAAUGCUCCUUGUUUGAUUAGCGAGUCGUGAUCAUGACGUAGCUUUUGUAGAGAUAGAGAUAGUCGAGGAGAUAUAAAUAGUUGAGGAUAGUUUUUAGUUUUAAGUUAUCUUGUAUUUGAUGUAGAUAUCUCUCUUGAUAAGACUAGAUUAAUUCAUUAUUAUCAACAACUGAUUAGCACUCUCUUGAUAAGACUAGAUUAGUUUAUUAUUAUCAAUAACUGAUUAGCCCUAUAUAUAUAAGGGACUCUGUAUAUUCUUGAUGGUUAAUAAAUAUACAAUGAUUUUUCUAGAGGAUUCAGAAGUUUAACACGGUAUCAGAGCGAGGUUGAUUUAUCAGUAGCAAUCCAUUGCUCAGUAGCAAAUCCAUUGCUCAUCAAGGGUUGCUUCGUCUCUCUUGAUAGUGGUCCAUGACUUAUGGGUAGUCCAUAGUUGUAGAAUGAGUUGAAGCCAAGGGUUCAGUUGCCCUAAUUAUCUACAACAUCAAGGUCACGGUGCUUGUUCCGUGUGUUUUGUAAAUUGGUUUCGUGUGUUUUUGCUUUAGUAGUAAGUUUUGCAAAUUGGCCUUGUGAGGUUUGCAAAUUGAUUCUGUGUGUUUUUGCUUGGGCAGUAAGCUUUGUUUUGGCCUUGGAAUGCAAGGUAUGCAAAUUGGUGCAAACGGUU
Molecule: long non-coding RNA, 1934 nt
Filed under: Amborella trichopoda
Lineage: Eukaryota; Viridiplantae; Streptophyta; Magnoliopsida; Amborellales; Amborellaceae
Description: long non-coding RNA (ATRI_LNC003303)
Source: RNAcentral